CGGUACAGCAGCCCUAGAGGAAGUGACUACUUCGGUAGACCAACCCUGAUCUCCUUAAAAGCAGAGCCUUGUGCUAGGAAACGGUUUAAUCCAUUAAGUGCCUUCCAUAGAAAAAGGACACAAUGCCCCACAAUGCACAGGGUCAACCAUAAGAAAUAAAACACAACCUGAAUGGGGCAGUGCAAGAAGAGAAAUCCAAACAGCCUCAGACGGAAGGAAGCCAUUCAGGCGACAAGCAGGCUCUUAUCCCUGGCUUCUUAUCAUUUACCAGAGGAGCCUGUGCUGGAAAUGAGAUUCAGAGCCACGACCAGGAAAGGCUGCUUCCUUAAUUGAGUGCCUCCCUUUUGAAGUCCUGUGUCUCCCUGGCAAAGCCUGGAGCUGCCUGGGUCCCCCUGGCCAAGAUCACUCGUGUGUAAUCUCUCGCACACCAGAGGCAGAUGCUCCACGACAUGGAGCUUUUUUGAAAGGCCUUUAAUGAGAUUUCUCAGUCCUCCACGUGGCUGGCAGGCGAAGGGAGGAAGUUUUCAGAAAAGCCUCUGAUCAAAGUGUUCAAGAUUUUCAGCAUUCAGGGGCUUUCCUGCCAGAUAUACCGGUCCAGGAUCUGCAAUUCUGGGGGCAUGCUCAGCACUCUGAGAGUGUUCACUCUCCUGCCCCUUCCCCUGCUUCCCUGCCCUGUCCCCAUAGGCUUAAGGACCACUUCUCUCCAGGUUCCUUCCAUUCAUGGAAAUUGAAAUUUGUAUUCUUUGAGAUUUCUUUAUUUAUUUGGGGCUAUUUGGAGACACAUACGUCGUCAGGAGCUCUAGUAGAAUGUUCAAAAGCUGAAGCAAACACCCCAUUUGGAAUUGACUUGGGGCAAGGGGCUAUUUUAAAAAAUCAGCCAAGCUCACGUGAAUUUGGAGUUAAUUAAGCUCUGAGUCCAAAUAUCGUCUGUAAAUGAGGGCAAUACCAGACAUAAGGACAAGAUCGUCAUGGGAAUUAGAUAAUGUAAAAUGUGAGAAGCCGCUAGCACGAAUGUCCUGAAGGUCUAAGAAAUGUUUAUUAUGAUUUUAUUUCUAUCCCUGUGGGAAGGAGAACCCUUAGCCAACCGACAGACUGUCUAAGCCUAAUACAGAGUGACAACAUUAAGGCAAAAGAGUCAAGGCUUUGUCAGCUGUUGUAACACAAUCACACAUGGCUGGAGAAAGUAGAUUUUUUUCAGUCACAUGAGCGCUGUCCUCAGUCUCGGUCACACCUUGCCCAUGCCAUAUCGCUUCCCCCUUUUUUCCCCUUUGAUGUUGUCCCCACACUCAGCAAAACCCCGAACCAGACCAACCUCAUUGUGUGGGGUUUUUCCCUUCUGGCCCAGAUGCUGAGUUUUACAGAGAAAUCCUGCUGCUCAGAUCAUGGGUUCCGACAGCAGUCGGGGACGUCUCUCAAUGUCCCCAAUUCACAAUGCAAAGAAUUCACGCUGCCCAGGUCCUCUCCACCUUCCUCCUACCUUCUCAGCAGAUGACCGGGUCUUACUGAGCAAACGGAGGCCACCCGGCAAAUAUCCCUCAGCCUGCGGCUCCUCUCGCUCUACAGUUAGCUGCACUUACAUUCAUCUCUCUUCCUUUUCUGUCUACAGCACUGGAUACAUCUUUUCCCCCUUGUGCUCAGGGUUCCAUCUCUGGCAUCCUACCCUUGAUGAGGCUUCUUAAAUUCACCGAACCGCAUUCCUCGCUCUCUCUCUCUCUCUCCCACAUACGCCCCUCCCUCUGGAUCCCUUUCACUCCUGCUUCUGCCUUACUCUCUCUCCUUCCCUUGAGGUCAAGCAUCCCUAAUGUCAGCUCCAUUCUCACUGCACAGUCACUCCUGCGGCCGGGCUCCAUCCUCUGUCCCUCCCCUCUCCCGUGAAUCCACCUUGCUGCUAAGUUGAACAGGCUCUUUCCAGGAGCUGUGUUAUUGAUUUGGCUGCAGCAUUUUCUGUUAACUUCCCGGCAGCACUCCAUGCUGGUUUCCAUGACAGCACUCCAUCCUGGUUCUCCUGCCUCCCCAGUCACACCUCAGCCUCCUUUGUGGGUGGCACGUCCCUGGUUUACCGGUCCCUUACACAUGAACGGUUCCUCCCUGGGUUCUAGCCUCAGCCUUCUCUUCCCUCCACGCAUUCUCCCUGGUUAUCUGAUCCUUGUCCCUGGCUUUAAUACCACCUCGCUCCAACCCAGGUCACCUCCUAAGGUCUAAAGGCACAUAACUGCCUAUCAGACAUGUCUGCUUAGAUGUCCCACAGGCACCUCAAAAUCAAGAUCUUGUCACCAAUUCUCACAUCCUCUUACCUAAACCCACUCUCAUCUCCGGUAUCAAAUUACUCACCAAAGACGGUUGAUUCCACUCCUUAAUUUUCUCUCAGAUGUUUCUGCAGCUCUCCAUCCCACAGAUACUACUUAGUUCAGGAGGCUCUUUUCCAGUCUAGAUCACGGCAACAGCCCAAAACCCAUGUCUCUGUCUCCAGUCCUGUGCACCCCAAUCCAUCUCCCACAUUGCUAUCAGAGACAGUCUUCUCAAACCAGAUUUAAUUGACCCCUUUUGGGUCCUUGAUGACCUUCUUCUCUAAAAACCCAAAGAGGUGGGUCCUGCAACUGAGAUAUGAUCCUAACCCUCCCUGGCUGCAGGUGACUGGAUCAAGGGACACAUGUGAUCCAAGCUGAUCCAAUCAGAUUCUCCUAAGAAUUUACAGCGAGGUCCCGGAAGAUUCUAAACCUUCAAGUCAGCACUUACAUUAAAUGUAUGUUCUC
Prionailurus viverrinus (fishing cat) is the source of this 2753-nucleotide long non-coding RNA. RefSeq lists it as uncharacterized. The transcript is spliced from 3 exons. NCBI's taxonomy places the organism in Eukaryota, Metazoa, Chordata, Mammalia, Carnivora, Felidae. The record is from RefSeq and is a predicted model, not a curated record.